GCAUCAGUAGCUCAGUGCUAGAGCACCGGUCUUGUAAGCCGGACGUCGGACGUUCAAACCUUCCCUCAUGCAU
This 73-nucleotide transfer RNA is filed under the name Arripis trutta (Australian salmon). RNAcentral's name for it is "tRNA-Thr". It matches the Rfam family "tRNA". From Rfam's summary of the family: Transfer RNA (tRNA) molecules are approximately 80 nucleotides in length. Their secondary structure includes four short double-helical elements and three loops (D, anti-codon, and T loops). Further hydrogen bonds mediate the characteristic L-shaped molecular structure. tRNAs have two regions of fundamental functional importance: the anti-codon, which is responsible for specific mRNA codon recognition, and the 3' end, to which the tRNAs corresponding amino acid is attached (by aminoacyl-tRNA synthetases). tRNAs cope with the degeneracy of the genetic code in two manners: having more than one tRNA (with a specific anti-codon) for a particular amino acid; and 'wobble' base-pairing, i.e. permitting non-standard base-pairing at the 3rd anti-codon position. The record is from RNAcentral. Lineage: Eukaryota; Metazoa; Chordata; Actinopteri; Scombriformes; Arripidae.